Molecule: non-coding RNA, 92 nt
Organism: Gymnopus androsaceus JB14
Lineage: Eukaryota; Fungi; Basidiomycota; Agaricomycetes; Agaricales; Omphalotaceae
Source: the annotation of a GenBank genome assembly
GGUCUAAUAGUGUAGAGGUUAUCACACGGGAUUUUGAAAUUGGUAAUGUGAUGUUACUUCCCGUAACCCAGGUUCGAGUCCUGGUUAGACCU